AUUGAACGCUGGCGGCAGGCCUAACACAUGCAAGUCGAACGCUGAAGCCCUUUCGGGGGUGGAUGAGUGGCGAACGGGUGAGUAAAACGUGGGUUAUCUGCCCUGUGCUUCGGGAUAAGCCUUGGAAACGGGGUCUAAUACCGGACAGGAACUGUCCUCGCAUGGGGGUGGGUGGCAAGUUCCGGCGGUAUGGGAUGAGCCCGCGGCCUAUCAGCUUGUUGGUGAGGUGAUGGCCUACCAAGGCGACGACGGGUAGCCGGCCUGAGAGGGUGACCGGUCACACUGGGACUGAGACACGGCCCAGACUCCUACGGGAGGCAGCAGUGGGGAAUCUUGCGCAAUGGGCGAAAGCCUGACGCAGCAACGCCGCGUGGGGGAUGACGGCCUCCGGGUUGUAAACCUCUUUCGGUAUCGACGAAGGGGUCCUUGUUGGGGCUCUGACGGUAGGUGCAGAAGAAGCACCGGCUAACUACGUGCCAGCCGCCGCGGUAA
Molecule: ribosomal RNA, 492 nt
Filed under: uncultured bacterium
Lineage: Bacteria
Description: partial 16S ribosomal RNA
Rfam family: Bacterial small subunit ribosomal RNA
Source: RNAcentral